UACGUAGGGUGCGAGCGUUGUCCGGAAUUAUUGGGCGUAAAGGGCUCGUAGGCGGUUUGUCGCGUCGGGAGUGAAAACCAUGGGCUUAACUCAUGGCUUGCUUCCGAUACGGGCAGACUAGAGGCAUGCAGGGGAGAACGGAAUUCCUGGUGUAGCGGUGAAAUGCGCAGAUAUCAGGAGGAACACCGGUGGCGAAGGCGGUUCUCGGGGCAUGUCCUGACGCUGAGGAGCGAAAGUGUGGGGAGCGAACAGG
RNAcentral lists this ribosomal RNA (253 nucleotides) under uncultured bacterium. RNAcentral's name for it is "partial 16S ribosomal RNA". It matches the Rfam family "Bacterial small subunit ribosomal RNA", at positions 524 to 776 of the family's 1533-position model. The record is from RNAcentral.